Molecule: long non-coding RNA, 1170 nt
Organism: Bos taurus (domestic cattle)
Lineage: Eukaryota; Metazoa; Chordata; Mammalia; Artiodactyla; Bovidae
Source: Ensembl
AAGUCUCUGGAAGCUCACUGAGCACCAAGGAUCAUUGUUUUCUUAAUCAGAGUUUGAAGGGUAGAAGCUGUUAUCCAGGACUGUUUACACCAGCAAGCCAUCAGAAAUCUACUGGGCACUAGUUCCAUCUCAAAAGCUAACAGAAUUUUGGAAAGCAGUCAAGUCUGUGAAGUUAGAGUUCGGUGGGUGUUUUGAUGUGCCAGUGCCUACUGGUCUGCCAUGAAGAAUAAUAACAACAUUUACGACUAAAAGUAAAUUUAGUGCUUGUGUCACACCAACAUUGGAUAAAAGUGCUAACACUCAAUAAUUACCUUGUUGCUAACUUGGCCUUGAUAAGAAAGCAUUCUUUUUAAAAGUACAUGACUGGUCAUGUAAUUUUGUAGACGAGUAGUUCAUUAAGAAACAAAAAAGCAAAUCUAGUGAAUCUGAGUUAAAGACAAUGACUUAGUAAAAGCUCUGAUGAACUAUGAAAGAUAACGUUGGGUGGCACAGAUUUCCUUCCCUCCCUCCCCUCUCCCAUCCCUGAUAUCUGAGAGUCAUUAAAGUGCAUAUAAUAGGGUUAUUGUGUUGAUUAGUUGCUCAGUUGUGUCUGACUCUUUGCGGCCCCUUGGACUGUAGGCUCCUCUCUCCACGGGAUUUCCCAGACAAGAAUACUGCAGUAGGUUGCCAUUUCUUCCUCCAGGGGAUCUUUCUGACUCAGGAUUGAACUUAGGUCUCCUACGUCUCCUGUAUUGUAGGCGAAUUCUUCACCACUGUGUCACCUGGGAAGCCUUGUAAUAUGCUUAUAUGCCUUCCUUAAAAAUGAUGUCUAUUAAGCAUGCUUACCCUUUGCAUAGAAAGAGAUAGUUCAAGGUUAUGCUAAAUAAAAUAUUAUAUGUGCCAUUUAUAUGAAAAGUUGCCUAAGGCAAAAAAUGUGGAAUAUGUUUAUCUAUCCUUCUGCUUUGUGUCCCAGAUUUAGCACCAAUAUGUGCCCUGAAUUGGAUUAAGCCUUCAGAAUAUUUUCAAAAGGACCCUCAAAAGAUGGACUCUAGCAUCAAAGGUCUUUUUCUUUUUUUAAAAAAAUUUUUUGUUGCACCACACGGCAUGUGGGAAUCUUAGUUGCCCAACCAGGGAUGGAACCCAUGCCCUCUGCAUUAGAAGCAUGGACUCUUAACCACUGGACCUCUAGGG